Hippocampus comes (tiger tail seahorse) is the source of this 139-nucleotide long non-coding RNA. RefSeq lists it as uncharacterized. The record is from RefSeq and is a predicted model, not a curated record. NCBI's taxonomy places the organism in Eukaryota, Metazoa, Chordata, Actinopteri, Syngnathiformes, Syngnathidae. The transcript has 3 exons.
UUUCUUGACUUGGAACGGAUUACAUUUUUUUACAUUGAUUCCAAUGGGAAACAUGGUUUCGGUUUUCGAACAAUUCGGUUUUCGAAGUCUUCUGGAACGUAUUAUGUACGAAAACCGAGAUUUGACUAUAUAUAUAUAU